RNAcentral lists this long non-coding RNA (202 nucleotides) under Mytilus galloprovincialis (Mediterranean mussel). The record is from RNAcentral. Lineage: Eukaryota; Metazoa; Mollusca; Bivalvia; Mytilida; Mytilidae.
UGUUGCAGAAUUUAUUAACCGAGUUAACGCUUUGUCUGAAGACCAAGAUGUUGGACAACAAUUCAAAUUGACGAAACUGCAAUAUAGAUGUAAACCAGAACUUGUUAGACUAAUGUCCCUAGGUAAAUGGCCGGAGACAGUUGUAGAGCCAGAAGUGCGCUUGCAGUCAGUUGAACAAACUUUCAAUAUUUAGAAAAAUGCG